UACGUAGGGCGCAAGCGUUGUCCGGAAUUAUUGGGCGUAAAGAGCUUGUAGGUGGCUCGUCGCGUCGGGAGUGAAAACCCGCGGCUUAACCGCGGGCCUGCUUUCGAUACGGGCGGGCUAGAGUUCGGCAGGGGAGACUGGAAUUCCUGGUGUAGCGGUGGAAUGCGCAGAUAUCAGGAGGAACACCGGUGGCGAAGGCGGGUCUCUGGGCCGAUACUGACACUGAGAAGCGAAAGCGUGGGGAGCGAACAGG
This 253-nucleotide ribosomal RNA is filed under the name uncultured bacterium. Its description in RNAcentral is "partial 16S ribosomal RNA". It matches the Rfam family "Bacterial small subunit ribosomal RNA", at positions 524 to 776 of the family's 1533-position model. The record is from RNAcentral.